GUUCAGAUUACUUCUGGGUUGGUGAGCACAUCCACGUGCCAGGAGGGUGGUACACCCCAACUCCACAGAGACAGAAGCUGCUGUGCUGGGGACCCUUCCGGACCUUGCCCUCUACCUCUUCACCUAGGCAUACCUCAAUCCCCAAGUGGACGUCCUAUGGUAGGGCGUUGGUCUUGGACCCCCCUAGUGCAGGCAGUGAUGUCUUACCUCCAGCAGAGGGCGUGUUCCCCAUUCUUAGGGAGUCCAAGCUCCGGAUCCAGGCUGCCUAAGAAAUAGGGCUUCGGCUUAGCCCACAGAGGGUCCAGUCUUUCAUUUAAAGAUUUAAACAUGUACUUAAGACCUUAGUUACCUUUCCACAUCCCUCUGGGGAGACUGCCCUUGUCUGAUCACUUUCUUUUGGAAACACUCUUUCCUGGAUGGACUCAGGUUCCUGCAGCCAAAACUAUAAACUUGACUUCGGUCACAUGAUGACUUUAACUAAUGAGCCAAGGGACCAUAGACGAAACAGGAAUACUGUCCUUACAAAACAAAUGAAAACACCAGCAAAGGUUUAUUUAUUUAUUUUUACAGUUCUCAAAGUGGCCUCAAAUUUCUAACUUUUCUUACAACAAAGAGAGAUUCUUUUUAAAAAAAAUCUUUGAACAUUUUCCAUCAUUCGAAUUUGUAGGUCCCUCCCACAAACACACACACACAUCUCAGGUGGAAAAAAAAGAGCAGUCUCUUGGGGCCGGCCCGGUGGCGCAGUGGUUAAGUUCGCACGUUCUGCUUUGGCAGCCCAGGGUUCACCUGUUUGGAUCCCGGGUGCGCCCAUGGCACCGCUCAGCAAGCCAUGCUGUGGUAGGCAUCCCACAUAUAAAGUAGAGGAAGAUGGACAUGGAUGUUAGCUUAGGGCCAAUCUUCCUCAACAAAAAGAGGAGGAUUGGUAGCAGAUGUUAGCUCACGGCUAAUCUUCCUCAAAAAAAAAAAAAAAAAAAAGAGCAGUAUCUGGUCAUGGUUGGGUUCU
RNAcentral lists this long non-coding RNA (1003 nucleotides) under Equus asinus (donkey). RNAcentral describes it as "lncRNA (ENSEASG00005032769.1)". The record is from RNAcentral. Lineage: Eukaryota; Metazoa; Chordata; Mammalia; Perissodactyla; Equidae.